CCCUUAGAUGUCCGGGACCGCACGCGCGCUACACUGAAGGAAUCAGCGUGGCUUUCUCCCUGACCCGAAAGGGUUGGGAAACCCGUUGAAUCUCCUUCGUGAUAGGGAUUGGGGCUUGAAAUUGUUCCCCAUGAACGAGGAAUUCCCAGUAAGCGCGAGUCAUAAGCUCGCGUUGAUUACGUCCCUGCCCUUUGUACACACCGCCCGUCGCUACUACCGAUUGAACGGUUUAGUGAGGGCCUCGGAUUGGUCUCGGCCCGCUCUUUACCGGGCGGCGCCGUUGGUCGAGAAGACGCUCGAACUUGAUCGUUUAGAGGAAGUAAAAGUCGUAACA
Molecule: ribosomal RNA, 334 nt
Filed under: uncultured eukaryote
Lineage: Eukaryota
Description: partial 18S ribosomal RNA
Rfam family: Eukaryotic small subunit ribosomal RNA
Source: RNAcentral